GACGAACGCUGGCGGCGUGCUUAACACAUGCAAGUCGAACGGAAAGGCCCUGCUUUUGUGGGGUGCUCGAGUGGCGAACGGGUGAGUAACACGUGAGUAACCUGCCCUUGACUUUGGGAUAACUUCAGGAAACUGGGGCUAAUACCGGAUAGGAGCUCCUGCUGCAUGGUGGGGGUUGGAAAGUUUCGGCGGUUGGGGAUGGACUCGCGGCUUAUCAGCUUGUUGGUGGGGUAGUGGCUUACCAAGGCUUUGACGGGUAGCCGGCCUGAGAGGGUGACCGGCCACAUUGGGACUGAGGUACGGCCCAGACUGCUACGGGAGGCAGCAGUGGGGAAUAUUGCACAAUGGGCGGAAGCCUGAUGCAGCAACGCCGCGUGCGGGAUGACGGCCUUCGGGGUGUAAACCGCUUUCGCCUGUGACGAAGCGUGAGUGACGGUAAUGGGUAAAGAAGCACCGGCUAACUACGUG
RNAcentral lists this ribosomal RNA (468 nucleotides) under uncultured bacterium. RNAcentral describes it as "partial 16S ribosomal RNA". It matches the Rfam family "Bacterial small subunit ribosomal RNA", at positions 28 to 507 of the family's 1533-position model. The record is from RNAcentral.